AAAGAAGUUUAUUGCCAUUGGCAUGAAUCAUCAAUUAUCAUCAUUAUACAAAUCCAUGCACCAUACACCAUCCCUGCAUACAUACAUACAUCCCUCAUCUACCACUGCCAUUACUGAAUAUUAAUAACAUCAAGCUCACGCCAUCGAGGAAAAGGAAAGCCUAGGCUUAAACAUUGGACGGUACAUCUAAGGAACAUAAUAGCAGUAAUACGAACAUCUCACAGGAAACAAACCGAUCUAGAAAAACCAUCUUAUUGGGAGCUCAUCUCACACUCUUUUCUUCCUCAUAGAAGAAACAAGGAAGAAAAAUUUGGAGCUAUUAACUUGUUGUAGCUAAUAC
This 340-nucleotide long non-coding RNA is filed under the name Citrus maxima (pomelo). RNAcentral describes it as "long non-coding RNA (CMAX_LNC001127)". The record is from RNAcentral. Lineage: Eukaryota; Viridiplantae; Streptophyta; Magnoliopsida; Sapindales; Rutaceae.